AUGAGAGUCGUGUUCAGAGGCGAGCAAUAUCACUGGAAUUUGAGAGGAAGCAGUUCAAUAUUCGCUUGUCGCAAUUCGUAUGGAGGAGAUGACGCUUGCAACCUCUUGGUGUUAACCUUUCUAUACCAAGGGGCAUCAUCCCAGUGCUCCAUGGCCAUGUCAUCGGCCUCACUACUAAAGCGGUUCAGCAAUGUAGCACGGUCGCCAAAAGGGUGCUGCUACAACCCAGAGAGAUCCGGCGUUGGUAUUGUCUCGGCUGUUAUGGAACCAGCCGUUGCACGCCUACGCAUCGUCGGGCCUCUCAUCAACACCAACGCGCGUGAGAUCCUAGAGAUUACACUACCGAACCUCUGUUGGAGCAAUAGGAGGCCAUUCCGAGCAGCCAUACUGUCAUGCGGUCUAUGCCGCAGGUGGAUCGGUAGUGGCACCGUCUACAUGUUCAAAGGCGAGAUGGGAUUUUGUAAACAAGAGUGUCUUUGCGACUAUAUCACUGAGCAAUUGGAAAAGGAGACAGAGAGGGUGAGAUGGUGUGGAAGAGAAAAGGUGCCAACAAUGUUGGACAAGGAAGGCGACCAGAGCUGCAUUUUCUUCACCUGCGCUGGCAGCCUAUGA
RNAcentral lists this ribosomal RNA (612 nucleotides) under Triticum aestivum (bread wheat). RNAcentral's name for it is "partial small subunit ribosomal RNA". Lineage: Eukaryota; Viridiplantae; Streptophyta; Magnoliopsida; Poales; Poaceae. The record is from RNAcentral.